UGGGGAAUAUUGCACAAUGGGCGCAAGCCUGAUGCAGCAACGCCGCGUGAGGGACGACGGCCUUCGGGUUGUAAACCUCUUUUAGUAGGGAAGAAGCGAAAGUGACGGUACCUGCAGAAAAAGCACCGGCUAACUACGUGCCAGCAGCCGCGGUAAUACGUAGGGUGCGAGCGUUGUCCGGAAUUAUUGGGCGUAAAGAGCUCGUAGGCGGUCUGUCGCGUCUGCUGUGAAAACCCGAGGCUCAACCUCGGGCCUGCAGUGGGUACGGGCAGACUAGAGUGCGGUAGGGGAGAAUGGAAUUCCUGGUGUAGCGGUGGAAUGCGCAGAUAUCAGGAGGAACACCGAUGGCGAAGGCAGUUCUCUGGGCCGUAACUGACGCUGAGGAGCGAAAAGCGUGGGGAGCGAACAGGAUUAGAUACCCUGGUAGUCCACGCCGUAAAACGUUGGGCGCUAGAUGUGGGGACCAUUCCACGGUUUCCGUGUCGCAGCUAACGCAUUAAGCGCCCCGCCU
RNAcentral lists this ribosomal RNA (511 nucleotides) under uncultured bacterium. RNAcentral's name for it is "partial 16S ribosomal RNA". It matches the Rfam family "Bacterial small subunit ribosomal RNA", at positions 355 to 874 of the family's 1533-position model. The record is from RNAcentral.